RNAcentral lists this transfer RNA (77 nucleotides) under Candidatus Woesearchaeota archaeon. RNAcentral's name for it is "tRNA-Ile". It matches the Rfam family "tRNA". Rfam says of the family: Transfer RNA (tRNA) molecules are approximately 80 nucleotides in length. Lineage: Archaea; Nanobdellati; Candidatus Woesearchaeota. The record is from RNAcentral.
GGGCCUGUAGCUUAGCUUGGCUGGAGCACUCGACUGAUAAUCGAGGGUCGCCUGUUCAAAUCAGGCCAGGCCCACCA